Molecule: unclassified non-coding RNA, 204 nt
Filed under: soil metagenome
Description: partial contains 5.8S ribosomal RNA, internal transcribed spacer 2, and large subunit ribosomal RNA
Source: RNAcentral
AACGCACGAGACCUGCGGACCUGCGGAAGGAUCAUUACAGAGUUUUCUAAACUCCCAAACCUUUGUGAACUUACCACUGUUGCCUCGGCGGAAGCUAUUGGGGUUACCCUGUAGCGACCGCCGGUGGACCAACCCAACUCUUGUAAUUUUGAGAAAUCUGAGAGUCUUAUACAAAUAAGUCAAAACUUUCAACAAUGGAUCUCU